This 85-nucleotide transfer RNA is filed under the name Deltaproteobacteria bacterium. RNAcentral's name for it is "tRNA-Leu". It matches the Rfam family "tRNA". Rfam says of the family: Transfer RNA (tRNA) molecules are approximately 80 nucleotides in length. Their secondary structure includes four short double-helical elements and three loops (D, anti-codon, and T loops). Lineage: Bacteria; Pseudomonadati; Myxococcota; Myxococcia. The record is from RNAcentral.
GCCUGGGUGGCGGAAUAGGCAGACGCAAGGGACUUAAAAUCCCUUGGACCUUGUGUCCGUGCGGGUUCGAUUCCCGCCCCAGGCA